CCUACGGGAGGCAGCAGUGAGGAAUAUUGGUCAAUGGACGCGAGUCUGAACCAGCCAAGUAGCGUGAAGGAAGACGGCUCUAUGAGUUGUAAACUGCUUUUAUACAGGGAUAAACGCAGACACGCGUGCCUGUCUGAAAGUAUCGUACGAAUAAGGAUCGGCUAACUCCGUGCCAGCAGCCGCGGUAAUACGGAGGAUUCGAGCGUUAUCCGGAUUUAUUGGGUUUAAAGGGUGCGUAGGCGGUCUGUUAAGUUAGUUGUGAAAGCUUGAGGCUCAACUUUGGAAUUGCCACUGAUACUGGUCGUCUAGAGAGUAGUUGCGGUAGGCGGAAUGCGUGGUGUAGCGGUGAAAUGCUUAGAGAUCACACAGAACACCGAUUGCGAAGGCAGCUUACUAAGCUACUUCUGACAUUGAUGCACGAAAGUGUGGGUAUCAAACAGGAUUAGAUACCCCAGUAGUC
Molecule: ribosomal RNA, 460 nt
Filed under: uncultured bacterium
Lineage: Bacteria
Description: partial 16S ribosomal RNA
Rfam family: Bacterial small subunit ribosomal RNA
Source: RNAcentral